CUGAGCUUUGCAAGUUGCCCAAUCACAAUUUUCAGCAUUACAGGCAUAUUCCCCAUCUCUGUUUUAAUUAGGAAACCCAUCUGCUGAUAUUAGGACAGAUAUUGGCUGGCUUCCUUAGGCUUCAUGUUAGGUGUAGGGUUAGUGUUUGUUUGAGAUAGUUUAGGGUUAAGGUUAGGGGUAGCGCUAAUUACCAAAUAUUAAUUUAGAUCCUAGAGAUUGCAUUUAACUCAUGUUCAGUCUAUCGCCAAAUUCUGCUGCUUCCACCUCAAAAACAUUGCGCGCAUCCGACCCUACUUAACUCCAGAUGUGACUAAGGAGCUGGUCCAUUCCACUGUCCUUUCUCGUCUUGACUACUGUAAUCCGCUUCUCAGUGGUCUUACGUGCUCACAACUUGCCCCAUUGCCG
Molecule: non-coding RNA, 405 nt
Organism: Pelobates cultripes (western spadefoot toad)
Lineage: Eukaryota; Metazoa; Chordata; Amphibia; Anura; Pelobatidae
Source: the annotation of a GenBank genome assembly